UACGUAGGCAGCAAGCGUUGUUCGGAAUCACUGGGCUUAAAGGGCGCGUAGGCGGCUUGGCAAGUCCGGGGUGAAAGCCCCCGGCUCAACUGGGGAGGGUCACCGGUAACGGCCGAGCUCUGAGUGCAGGAGAGGGAAGUGGAACUCCGGGAGUAGCGGUGAAAUGCGUAGAGACCCGGAGGAACACCAGUGGCGAAGGCGGCUUCCUGGUCUGCAACUGACGCUGUGGCGCGAAAGCUAGGGGAGCAAACGGG
RNAcentral lists this ribosomal RNA (254 nucleotides) under uncultured bacterium. Its description in RNAcentral is "partial 16S ribosomal RNA". It matches the Rfam family "Bacterial small subunit ribosomal RNA", at positions 524 to 776 of the family's 1533-position model. The record is from RNAcentral.